RNAcentral lists this ribosomal RNA (397 nucleotides) under uncultured bacterium. RNAcentral describes it as "partial 16S ribosomal RNA". It matches the Rfam family "Bacterial small subunit ribosomal RNA", at positions 523 to 918 of the family's 1533-position model. The record is from RNAcentral.
AUACGUAGGGGGCGAGCGUUGUCCGGAAUGAUUGGGCGUAAAGGGCGCGUAGGCGGCGCGGUAAGUCUGGAGUGAAAGUCCUGCUUUCAAGGUGGGAAUUGCUUUGGAUACUGCCGCGCUUGAGUGCAGGAGAGGUUAUCGGAAUUCCCGGUGUAGCGGUGAAAUGCGUAGAGAUCGGGAGGAACACCAGUGGCGAAGGCGGGUAACUGGACUGCAACUGACGCUGAGGCGCGAAAGUGUGGGGAGCAAACAGGAUUAGAUACCCUGGUAGCCCACACUGUAAACGAUGAAUGCUAGGUGUAAGAGGUAUCGACCCCUUUUGUGCCGGAGUCAACACAAUAAGCAUUCCGCCUGGGGAGUACGGCCGCAAGGUUGAAACUCAAAGGAAUUGACGGGG